AACGAACGCUGGCGGCAUGCCUAACACAUGCAAGUCGAACGAGACCUUCGGGUCUAGUGGCGCACGGGUGCGUAACGCGUGGGAACCUGCCCUUAGGUUCGGAAUAACUCCCCGAAAGGGGUGCUAAUACCGGAUAAUGUCUUCGGACCAAAGAUUUAUCGCCUUUGGAUGGGCCCGCGUUGGAUUAGCUAGUUGGUAGGGUAAAAGCCUACCAAGGCGACGAUCCAUAGCUGGUCUGAGAGGAUGAUCAGCCACACUGGGACUGAGACACGGCCCAGACUCCGAGGGAGGGGAGCAGUGGGGAAUAUUGGACAAGGGGCGAAAGCCUGAUCCAGCAAUGCCGCGUGAGUGAUGAAGGCCUUAGGGUUGUAAAGCUCUUUUACCCGGGAUGAUAAUGACAGUACCGGGAGAAUAAGCUCCGGCUAACUCCGUG
This 433-nucleotide ribosomal RNA is filed under the name uncultured bacterium. RNAcentral describes it as "partial 16S ribosomal RNA". It matches the Rfam family "Bacterial small subunit ribosomal RNA", at positions 29 to 507 of the family's 1533-position model. The record is from RNAcentral.